GGUCCGUUCGUAUCAAUCGUCUGGCAGGGGCGGGGGAACCAAUAAUCGGAUCUUGCACCAUGUGCAAAGUCCUUGGGGUGAAGCCGCGAAGCGUUUAUACUCUCCAAGAGGAAACUCUUGCAGUGUGCCAACGUGGAGCGGCCGGGUGACUCCCAUCCGAAUCCGACAGCUUACCUCGCAGGCAUUGGGAGAGGAAAC
This 198-nucleotide small RNA is filed under the name Arthrobacter sp. RNAcentral's name for it is "c-di-AMP sequence". It matches the Rfam family "c-di-AMP riboswitch aptamer (ydaO/yuaA leader)". Rfam says of the family: This family represents a conserved RNA structure found upstream of the ydaO and yuaA genes in Bacillus subtilis and related genes in other bacteria. Lineage: Bacteria; Bacillati; Actinomycetota; Actinomycetes; Micrococcales; Micrococcaceae. The record is from RNAcentral.